This 337-nucleotide unclassified non-coding RNA is filed under the name soil metagenome. Its description in RNAcentral is "partial contains 5.8S ribosomal RNA, internal transcribed spacer 2, and large subunit ribosomal RNA". The stretch from base 1 to 120 matches the Rfam family "5.8S ribosomal RNA", at positions 35 to 154 of the family's 154-position model. The record is from RNAcentral.
GAUGAAGAACGUAGCGAAAUGCGAUAAGUAAUGUGAAUUGCAGAAUUCAGUGAAUCAUCGAAUCUUUGAACGCACAUUGCGCCCGCCAGUAUUCUGGCGGGCAUGCCUGUUCGAGCGUCAUUUCAACCAUCAAGCCCCCCGGCUUGUGUUGGGGACCUGCGGCUGCCGCAGGCCCUGAAAAGCAGUGGCGGGCUCGCUGUCACACCGAGCGUAGUAGAUCUCAUCUCGCUCAGGGCGUGCUGCGGGUUCCGGCCGUUAAACCACCUUCAUAACCCAAGUUUGACCUCGGAUCAGGUAGGAAGACCCGCUGAACUUAAGCAUAUCAAUAAGCGGAGGA